AGGUGAUCUGGAUCUUGAUUUGCGACUCAUCUCCAUGCUAACUAGCUAAGUUAGCACUGAAGGGAGUGUAUUUGUAUCGUCCAGUGUUUCCUUACACCUAUCUCCAAACUACACAUCAAUUUUUUAAUAGUUUAUAUUUUUCUAUUAGACAGUUUCAUAAUAAUAAUAAUUAUAAUAAAUCAGUUUAUGUUUCAACACCAGAGGGGGCAAAUCCUGUUAAAGGUUUUGAAACAUCUGGUGACACAAUGAGGUCCGAUUUAACAAACAGUGGUUAGGUAAAAGAAAAUACCAACUGCAAAAUUCCUCAAAAAUAUGCAUUUACUCAAAUUUUUAAAUGGUACAUGCAAAAUUCUUUCAACUUUUCCUUUGUGGAGAAAAACCUUAUGAACCACAUGUAUCCAAUUACUGCACAUACCUUCAUGCACAACAGCCCAAACACUUGCUACUGUAAUCCCUAAAGAGUAAAAUUACACAACUUACUCAUAAUAUCUACUGUACAAUCCUGAGACCAGUAUUUAAAAAACAAAACAUCCACCUUCUACUCCUCAACAUAGUGAGAUUUAUAUUGGAAAAAAAAUGAGUAAAGAAGACCUGAGUGAUCAGAUCGCUAUAGUCAUGCUUUGCAUACAUUUGCAUUCAGGAGCAGUUAAUCUCUGCAGGAACUAGAUAUGGACAUGGUCUCUAGUGCAGAAUGGGUCUCACCAAGUUCCCCAGUGUGCACAUAUUAGAGAAAAUGAUUAAGAUAUAAUCAGAAAUAUGAAAAUGUCAUGCACAAGCUAAACAAGAUUAAUCCUGCACAUAUAUUAUCAAAAUUAAAUGAUCAUGACCUGACAGUUUUUGUGUCAUGUUUUUUCCCCCUCAUUUACAUAGUUGUUGUAAAGACUGAGGAAAAUAUAUAAUCUUUGCAAUAUCAGUCAGUCUCUCUCUCUCUCUCACACACACACACACGAACAGGUUGAAUAUUAUCAAAUACGCACAGAAGCCAAUCUAAAAACUUCUUUUAAAGCUGAACUUUGGUGGCAAAAUUACAGUCAAUGUUGUUUAACUCUCCACCUCCAAAACAGGUCUACAAAUGCUUAAAGCUGUGUUACACUCUGACAGAGUAAAAGAAUGUUAAAUAUUUAAAUAUUUUGUCUGUUGACAAAUUUGUCAGUUCCCCAUGGAAUUGGGAUGCUAAUGGACAGGCAACAUCACAUUUCCAAUGAUAUCUGCACUGAGGAUUUUUUCCAGUUUAUAGACAUUUAUGCUGGAUCUGAGCAGAGUUUGUCAUGGUCUGAAAGCAUGACAUCAUAUUUCCUCACUGCUCAUGUGGAAAUACAAACAACUUCGCCCCACCUCCUUGCUAACAGAGAAAGAGAAAGAAAAGGGGGGAGAGAGACAGACAUAUCGUUGUCUUCAAGACAUGGAGUUACGGCUCCACGUUGUUGCUACAUUGGUCCUUUCUUCGCUUGUGCUGCAGCUUUAGCCAAUCAAAAGCCCAGAAUGAUCCCAAACACACAUGCAGACAGCGGGAAAGCUCUCCGCCUGAUCUCCGCUCAAAGUUUUGAACACGCACAAAACUUUCUGAUGAACGUGGCUGUCAUCAUCUGAGAAGGAACUUAUUAUAACAGAUGGGAAAAGGACUUAUCAGA
Thalassophryne amazonica is the source of this 1631-nucleotide long non-coding RNA. RefSeq lists it as uncharacterized. The transcript is spliced from 2 exons. NCBI's taxonomy places the organism in Eukaryota, Metazoa, Chordata, Actinopteri, Batrachoidiformes, Batrachoididae. The record is from RefSeq and is a predicted model, not a curated record.